This 253-nucleotide ribosomal RNA is filed under the name uncultured bacterium. RNAcentral's name for it is "partial 16S ribosomal RNA". It matches the Rfam family "Bacterial small subunit ribosomal RNA", at positions 524 to 776 of the family's 1533-position model. The record is from RNAcentral.
UACGAGGGGGGCAAAUGUUGUUCGGAAUUACUGGGCGUAAAGCGCGCGCAGGCGGUUCUUUAAGUCAGGGGUGAAAGCCCAGAGCUCAACUCUGGAAUUGCCUUUGAAACUAGAGAACUUGGGUACGGGAGAGGUGAGUGGAAUUCCGAGUGUAGAGGUGAAAUUCGUAGAUAUUCGGAAGAACACCAGUGGCGAAGGCGGCUCACUGGCCCGUUACCGACGCUCAGGCGCGACAGCGUGGGGAGCAAACAGG